Syngnathus acus (greater pipefish) is the source of this 1078-nucleotide RNA transcript. It is a transcript of the gene named cytochrome c oxidase assembly protein COX20, mitochondrial, with no coding region annotated. Lineage: Eukaryota; Metazoa; Chordata; Actinopteri; Syngnathiformes; Syngnathidae. The record is from RefSeq and is a predicted model, not a curated record. The transcript has 5 exons.
UGUUCCAAGUCGGACUUAAAAAAUGAUCGGACCGCAAAGGUCAACUCCGUCUAGGGAUUGUUUUUCUUCUCGUUUUCUGCGCAACGUGCCAGCUUAAAAGGUCUGUCAAAAAGCGAGCAACGCAUAUGAGCUGAAAUGCCACAAGACGAACAAGCGACGAGCAACCAAAGGGGCUACCGUCUGCUGGGCAUCUUGGACGUGCAGAAGACGCCCUGCGCCCGGGAGGCAGUCCUUCACGGCGCCAUUGCCUCAUCGGCCGUCGGCCUGCUGCACUUUUUGGCCACCAGUCACGUGAAGCGGUCGUUCGAUGUAGGCGCGGGAGGCUUCUUACUCUCCACUUUUGCUUCCUGGUGCUACUGCCGCGCUGGCAACGCCAGGCAGCGAGCGCAGCAGAGGAUUAUCCGGCGUGGCAUCGAGAACAAAAUGGUCUACCAGGGGACCCCCGUGGACCCCACGCGUCCCCUCAAAGCUCACGAGCCGCCCCGGGACCCUUCUGACGAGAUUGUCGCUGAUGGCAAGUGAGCCGAUCUUGGAUGUCCUCAGUGAGUUCUGUAAAGUCGUCCACUGACACCUGGCCAAAAGUGGAAAGGAACCACGUGGUCGUCCUCGGCGUGCAGAAUCAAGACGGGACAACGGAUAUGGUUGAUGCUGAACAAAAACAAAGCAAGCGAACCCGAUGACAGCAGAUGCGUUUUCGCCCGAGCCCACUGGAGCAGUGGUCCCCAACAACCCGGGCUGCGGACCGGUACGCGGAUGAUUUGGUACCGGGCCACACAAGAAAGAAUAAAUAACUUGCAUUAUUUUACACUUCUGACGUGUACAUAACAUUACUCAUGUUAUGUUGUUGGCACGAUGUUAUGAGGAUGCUGAAAGUAAAGUUGGAUAGAAUACACAGUGGAUUCAUGUUUAUUAUAUUGUACUGUGGUAUUCGCAUACAGAAUUCCCCUAUGGAACUAAGAGUUGAAGGGUGUGUUGGGAUGGUGGUGUUUAUGUGGUAACGCAUUUCUGUUGUUGUUCUGCUGGCUGGAAAGAGGGAUUGUAGUCUAAACACGGGCGAUUUUUGCGAAGAAAACGUCCA